RNAcentral lists this ribosomal RNA (488 nucleotides) under Axiokebuita cavernicola. RNAcentral describes it as "partial 16S ribosomal RNA". It matches the Rfam family "Bacterial large subunit ribosomal RNA", at positions 1846 to 2580 of the family's 2925-position model. The record is from RNAcentral. Lineage: Eukaryota; Metazoa; Annelida; Polychaeta; Scalibregmatidae.
UUUUAGGUUCAUCCUGCCCAGUGAAGUAAAAUUUUUAACGGCCGCGGUACCCUGACCGUGCAAAGGUAGCAUAAUCAUUUGCCUCUUAAUUAGAGGCUAGAAUGAACGGACAAACGAAAGAGCCCCUGUCUCAUACGCCCAAAUAAAAAUUAAUCUCUAAGUAAAGAAGCUUAGAUCUAUAAGAAAGACAAAAAGACCCUAUUGAGCUUUUUAAGAUAAAUUCUAUUUUACACAAGUAUUAAAUACCCAUAAAAUAAUUUUUUCCAAAUUUGUUGGGGCGACAAAGGAAACCUUGUAUCUUCCUUAUUUCUAAAAGAGAUAAACUCAUCCAAAUGACCCUUAACCCCUCCUCUAUGAUCAGUAAAUUUAGCUACCAUAGGGAUAACAGGCUAAUCCCCCUUAAGAGUCCUUAUCGUCGGGGGGGUUUGGCACCUCGAUGUUGGCUUAGGAACCCUUUUAAUUGUAGCAGAUUAAAAAAGGAGGUUUGU